This 459-nucleotide ribosomal RNA is filed under the name uncultured bacterium. RNAcentral's name for it is "partial 16S ribosomal RNA". It matches the Rfam family "Bacterial small subunit ribosomal RNA", at positions 338 to 795 of the family's 1533-position model. The record is from RNAcentral.
CCUACGGGAGGCAGCAGUGAGGAAUAUUGGUCAAUGGACGAGAGUCUGAACCAGCCAAGUAGCGUGAAGGAUGACUGCCCUAUGGGUUGUAAACUUCUUUUAUAUGGGAAUAAAAUGUUCCACGUGUGGGAUUUUGUAUGUACCAUAUGAAUAAGGAUCGGCUAACUCCGUGCCAGCAGCCGCGGUAAUACGGAGGAUCCGAGCGUUAUCCGGAUUUAUUGGGUUUAAAGGGAGCGUAGGUGGAUUGUUAAGUCAGUUGUGAAAGUUUGCGGCUCAACCGUAAAAUUGCAGUUGAAACUGGCAGUCUUGAGUACAGUAGAGGUGGGCGGAAGUCGUGGUGUAGCGGUGAAAUGCUUAGAUAUCACGAAGAACUCCGAUUGCGAAGGCAGUUCACUGGACUGCAACUGACACUGAGGCUCGAAAGUGUGGGUAUCAAACAGGAUUAGAUACCCCAGUAUC